RNAcentral lists this ribosomal RNA (443 nucleotides) under uncultured bacterium. RNAcentral describes it as "partial 16S ribosomal RNA". It matches the Rfam family "Bacterial small subunit ribosomal RNA", at positions 338 to 795 of the family's 1533-position model. The record is from RNAcentral.
CCUACGUGGGACAGCAGUGGGGAAUAUUGGGCAAUGGGCGCAAGCCUGACCCAGCAACGCCGCGUGAAGGAAGAAGGCUUUCGGGUUGUAAACUUCUUUUCUCAGGGACGAAGCAAGUGACGGUACCUGAUGAAUAAGCCACGGCUAACUACGUGCCAGCAGCCGCGGUAAUACGUAGGUGGCAAGCGUUAUCCGGAUUUACUGGUUUUAAAGGGCGUGUAGGCGGGACUGCAAGUCAGAUGUGAAAACCACGGGCUCAACCUGUGGCCUGCAUUUGAAACUGUAGUUCUUGAGUACUGGAGAGGCAGACGGAAUUCGUAGUGUAGCGGUGAAAUGCGUAGAUAUUAGGAGGAACACCAGUGGCGAAGGCGGUCUGCUGGACAGCAACUGACGCUGAGGCGCGAAAGCGUGGGGAGCAAACAGGAUUAGAUACCCCUGUAGUC